GCUCGAGUGACGGAACAGGAAGACGACGCCGACUCAGAACCGGCGGCCUACGUGGCGUGAGGGUUCGAAUCCCUCCUCGAGCACCA
Molecule: transfer RNA, 86 nt
Filed under: Myxococcales bacterium
Lineage: Bacteria; Pseudomonadati; Myxococcota; Myxococcia; Myxococcales
Description: tRNA-Leu
Rfam family: tRNA
About the family: Transfer RNA (tRNA) molecules are approximately 80 nucleotides in length. Their secondary structure includes four short double-helical elements and three loops (D, anti-codon, and T loops).
Source: RNAcentral